UGAAUGGAUAAAGAUGUGGUGUAUAUAUAUACAAAGGAAUAUUAUGCAGCCAUCAAAAAAUCUGUCAAUGUUCUUAAAUGGCUAACUUAGCCUCCUCCUGAAUUAUUUAUAUCUCACUAUCCUGUCAAUUAAAAACCUAAUCCCAUCUGAACAAAUUGGAAACUAUUUCAUGUUAUUUAUUUAUAGUCUUCUUUAGAUCUUUUGAAGUCUAUUUUGAUGUACAUUUCAUAAAAAUUAUAGCAUUAUUAAUAUGUUUUGAUAUUUUCUUAUUACAGUUUUCUAUAACCAUCAUAAUAUGUGGCUAAGAAUAAUAGAUUUUUUUCAUCCAUGUCUCAUGUCUCUCAAUUACAUAUGAUUUGGGCAAUAUUGAAAACAAGAGAACCAUUGUAUCACCUAUCAAUACUGAUAUACUCUUUAAAAAUGUCUAUCUUAGCUCAGUAGCGAUAAAUUAGUAAAAUAUAGGUUCAAAGGGUAAUUUAUUCAAAAGUUUGUUAGCAUUGCACUUUAAGGAUAAUAUGAUGGUUUUGUUUACUAUUGUCUAUAUGGUUUGAACUUGAAUGUUAAAUGUUGGAUUGAAAUGGAGCUUGAUCAAACAGCCUGUGUGUGAAUGUAAAGGAGUUUGCCUUACAAAAGACACAUUGGUAAUCAUGUUAUGGUCUAAAGCAGUGAAAGGCAUCUCUAGAUCUUGGUACUCAGUUGAAUUAUUUACUUGUAAGUGAUAGUACUGGUGGUCAAGUGAGCAGUCUCACAAUUUGUCAAUAACUUAGUCUUGCUUUUAAUAUGUCAUAUAUAAUUCAUAUGUAUAGGUAACAUCUAGGACAGUUACUUUCUUAUUUAAUAUUUUUCUGUUAAUUUCCUGUUGUCAGUAGAGGAAGGAAAGAAAACUAAUUUUUGCUUGCCAAUGAAAAAUCCAGGGUUUUGUUUCUCAGUAUAAAACUGUCAGUGUGUCUGAAGUGGAGUUUUGCUGAAGAAAUCCCUUUUUAAUCAGGAAGGUGCGGUCUGGCCCUUCCUUGAAACAACAGAAAAGUAAGUAUAAAAAAGAAUUGAAUUUUUUCAAUUGAUUCAAUUCAAAUGAGCAACACAUUUACAUAGGACUUUAUCCACAAGUCCGACUAAAUAAUGAUCAGCUCUACUACUUAAAUGGGACAGUAGUUUCUUGGAAACUGAGAAAUUACUCAGGGAAGGAUAAAUAGAAUGGAGGUUCCUCCCACCUGACCCUCUGCCAAUUUUCAUGUUUAUUCUUACUUCUUUAUACUUGCAGAGUCUAACACAUUUAUUCUUCCCACAGGAGUUACUCUGAUAUGCAUUAGACGUUAAUAUGCACAUCUAAAUGAGGAGUCAGGUUUCAAGUUACAAUAAAAACCCCUUGUAAAGAAUUUUCUCCUGAAUUCAGAUCUUUAAAACAGCCACAGCAGAUUAAAUUAUUUUUUAAGGAAGUAGCAUGUUCUGUCAUACUUGUGGCUCUGCUCCUGCGUUGACAGUGCUGCUGGGCUGCUUAAGACAUGACAGACUGACCGUGGGAGGAACAAGGACAUUUUGAUACUGCUGUGCCCACUGGAACAAACCUGACGAGAGCCAGGACUUUCUGUGGAUGAGCAGGUGUUCACAUCUGCAUUUCUGAAUCUGGAAUUCAUCUUUAAAGAAUAUUGUUUAAGACAAGAGAUGAGAAAUGCUAUUGCCUACUCCUGUCUGAAGUUGUAAAGACUCUCCGAUUUAACAAUUUGUAGCAAUAAGAAAGGUUUGUCAUACAGAUAAUCUGCAUCUGGAUUUUGCUUCUCUUUAUUUGGUGCCUAACUCUGUGCCGUUCUCUGCUUUUCUUGUCUCCCUAGGUCAUAAUUUUUGUUCUGAAGUAUGCACGUGCUUCAUGGAAUCUGUGGAUCCACUGAGCUUAUAUGCAUAUGCUGUAUGAAUAGGCAUUUUUUUCUGAAGAUCCAUAUUUUCAUGAGAUUUUCAAAGAGAAAUGAGACUGAAUAAAUUUGAGAAUUCCUGUUCUAUCUUUAUAUGUCAGCCUUAUUCUAUCUCAUCAACUGCUUUCUCUUCACUUGCAUCUUUCUCUCUCCAUAAUAUGGGUAGAAAAUAUAUGAACA
Molecule: non-coding RNA, 2087 nt
Organism: Leptonychotes weddellii (Weddell seal)
Lineage: Eukaryota; Metazoa; Chordata; Mammalia; Carnivora; Phocidae
Source: RefSeq, a predicted model, not a curated record